RNAcentral lists this ribosomal RNA (252 nucleotides) under uncultured bacterium. RNAcentral's name for it is "partial 16S ribosomal RNA". It matches the Rfam family "Bacterial small subunit ribosomal RNA", at positions 524 to 775 of the family's 1533-position model. The record is from RNAcentral.
UACGUAGGGUGCAAGCGUUAAUCGGAAUUACUGGGCGUAAAGCGUGCGCAGGCGGUGAUGUAAGACAGGUGUGAAAUCCCCGGGCUUAACCUGGGAACUGCAUUUGUGACUGCAUCGCUAGAGUACGGUAGAGGGGGAUGGAAUUCCGCGUGUAGCAGUGAAAUGCGUAGAUAUGCGGAGGAACACCGAUGGCGAAGGCAAUCCCCUGGACCUGUACCGACGCUCAUGCACGAAAGCGUGGGGAGCAACAGG